GAUGAACGCUAGCUACAGGCUUAACACAUGCAAGUCGAGGGGCAGCAUGAACUUAGCUUGCUAAGUUUGAUGGCGACCGGCGCACGGGUGAGUAACACGUAUCCAACCUUCCGUUUACUCAGGGAUAGCCUUUCGAAAGAAAGAUUAAUACCUGAUAGUAUGGUGAGAUUGCAUGAUAACACCAUUAAAGAUUUAUUGGUAAACGAUGGGGAUGCGUUCCAUUAGGUAGUAGGCGGGGUAACGGCCCACCUAGCCUGCGAUGGAUAGGGGUUCUGAGAGGAAGGUCCCCCACAUUGGAACUGAGACACGGUCCAAACUCCUACGGGAGGCAGCAGUGAGGAAUAUUGGUCAAUGGGCGAGAGCCUGAACCAGCCAAGUAGCGUGAAGGAUGACUGCCCUAUGGGUUGUAAACUGCUUUUAUAAGGGAAUAAAGUGGGAGUCGUGACUCUUUUUGCUAUGUACCUUAUGAAUAAGGACCGGCUAAUUCCGUGCCAGCAGCCG
Molecule: ribosomal RNA, 501 nt
Filed under: uncultured bacterium
Lineage: Bacteria
Description: bacterial SSU rRNA
Rfam family: Bacterial small subunit ribosomal RNA
Source: RNAcentral